RNAcentral lists this transfer RNA (75 nucleotides) under Clostridiaceae bacterium. Its description in RNAcentral is "tRNA-Glu". It matches the Rfam family "tRNA". Rfam says of the family: Transfer RNA (tRNA) molecules are approximately 80 nucleotides in length. The record is from RNAcentral. Lineage: Bacteria; Bacillati; Bacillota; Clostridia; Eubacteriales; Clostridiaceae.
GCCUCGUUAGUCUAGCGGUUAGGACGCUGGCCUCUCACGCCGGUAUCAUGGGUUCGAAUCCCAUACGGGGUGCCA